Numida meleagris (helmeted guineafowl) is the source of this 3117-nucleotide long non-coding RNA. RefSeq lists it as uncharacterized. Lineage: Eukaryota; Metazoa; Chordata; Aves; Galliformes; Numididae. The record is from RefSeq and is a predicted model, not a curated record. The transcript is spliced from 10 exons.
UGUACUGCACAACAUUCUGAUCUGAAAGCCAGUUGGCGAGAGUUGCUUGCUUAGAAUGAUAAUACUUUUGAUUUCAUUUUAAAGUUAAAGGAUUGUUUUAUGAAGUGUUGUCCUUAGCCUUAAGGCUCUAAAUAGUGCCAUUUUGGACCACUGAAUGAUCAUCUUUGAUAGAGAAGGAAAAGUGUCUUAUUUGCAGAUUGUCUUUAGAUGACUGACUUAAAGAACGUGCUCUUUGGAUGGGAAAACUUCAGAUCGAAGCGGUAACGCCUCUGAAAUAGGCUCAGAGAAGGACAACAAACUGUAAAACUAUGGAUUAGCAGAGUUCCUCAGCUGGAAAGAGAUGACAGAUGGGGGCAGGACUGUAUCUCCAGCUUUGAAUUCCUAUCCAGUCCUAAGGAAAUCCUGUUGCAUUACUGACAGCUGAUGCAUCAAGUGAAGUUUGAUGAUAGCAAAAAUCUCUAUUGGUGGAGUCUACAGGCUGCAGACAAACCUUGAGGAAGGUCUCCUAUAGCAGCAUGAAAGGCUGCUGCCCAGAGACCAUUAGUACAUGACUGGGAAGAGAAGGACUUGGCUGUGAGUAGGCUUAUACCUUGAACAGAAUGCCGUUAAACAGCUGUUUAUUUCCAGAGUCUUCAUGGUACUGGAGAAUUGGUGGAUACUGAAUUCUUGGCCCACAGCUUGAAUAUAGAAAUUGCAAGUCUGAGAAAGGAAGUCUAGAACUGAAAAUGCUUCCCUGCGUAUGCUUAUAUGCUUAAGGUGGAUAGGAAUGCCUGAAGUGCCCAGACGUCAGACAGCCUGUUCCCUGUUAGCCCCCUGACCCGCAGGGGUGGACAGCAGUCAAGAUAACAACAGCUUACAAGGAACAGUUUCCAGCCACGGAUCUCAAGGAUCAAGACUACAAGAGAAGCUUAUUUAAUUCUGUCUGUGACUUUCUGAAAUCAGUAUGAAGCUAUGAUUCAAGUUAAGUUUGUUACCAUCAUCCCCAUCUGAUUUGAGGCAAAAUCAUGAAAACAUCAGAAGUUGGAUCAAGGCAUGCAGCUGCCUAAGGGACACAGCAAAAAAGAGACAAAACAGCUCCUUGAGAAUUUUGAGUUGAUUGCACAAGAGAAUGCUUUACAAAGCUAAGUCUAUUCCGCUGUUUUUCUUCCCUGAAUGCUGAGACAAAGCGAGAAGGUGGGUUGGUGCUGCUGUUGCCUGGCCCAGAACAGGCACUGACAGGGCUUGACUAUGUACAAAUGUAUACCCGCACUGGGGUAGCGUUUCUGAAACUGCUACCUGGGUAAUCUUGGCAGGAUUUGAUUUCAAUUAUGCAGAUAUCUUAACGCUGUUGGCCUUGCAAAACUUGACUCCUGCAGUGCUCCCCUCUGAAUGACAGGGAAGUUCAACAAUUUGUCCCCUGUAUCCCCCCUUAACCACCACCCUCCACAUCUCCCAUCACCUCUCCUAUGCGCUCAUUUCUCAUGUCAUGUCAAAUGGUUUUCAUGUCCUUUCAUGACAUUAAACCCCAGACAAGUCCCCUCGGGACAAGUCACUCGUCUAUCUAUCUGCCUACUACCCUUGUUUCAGAAAUACUGAAGUUAUUUGAGGCCUGUCUGCCUUGCCUGCCCAUUAGUGUAAACCUGGGUGUGAGCAGUGCUGUCGCUUGAUCCCUUUAAUUACUACUGAAGAGCCUGGACUUCCCAUGCCAUGUUUUUCACCUAGAGAUUUUCGUCUGGUAAGCUACUUGCUAUUUGCAAAAGCUCUACAUUAAUUUGUGAAUAUUAGGUAUAGCCUGAAUCCCACUGUGAAAUUCAGUGUUUGGGUUGGAGCUUUACCUUUUAAUUUUUCACAGCUUCAAAUGGUCAGAUAAGUAAAUACAACACAGGUUGUAAGAAUACACCAGAACUUUGAUGAUAAACCAAGUAGAGCUUCUACUUAUCUAUUAACUUUUUAUUUUCCCAGAAGAAACUGUUUCUGUCAAUAUUUGAAUGUGAUGGGGAUGAACAGGAGGAAGAAAUGAAGUCUAAUCUCAGCAGAUGGUUGUCAAAACUGCACAGAGUGACUGAGAAUGUAGAAAGAAAUAAGAAGAGAGUUUCCUCCAUUUUGUUUUUAUGUCAUGAAUAGUGAAUAAAUCAUAUAUUAUAGACAAAUGAAAAAUAGCAAAAACUAGGUAAAGCACUAAUGAAAAGAAUGAAAACAAGGUUGCUGAAGAGUAUUUUGUAGAUAAAUGUGUGUGAUUACUCAUAGACCUUAAAUGAAUGUUGAUAUUACUGAAAACAAUAAAAAUGGACAUAUGUAUUGUAUUUAUGCAUUGAUAAUCUCAUCUUGGAGAUAUUACAAGAAUGAUUCAUGUUGACAAGAAAAGAAGAAUGUCUUUCAAGCUGUUACUUAGCUACUGACAAAUCAAGUAUGUCAGUUGGACGCAAGGAUGGGCAAAGCAGACUUGUAAGACAGAUAGGCUACUAUCAGUUUUAUGUCUGAUCAUAGCUGGAAAUCUGAAUGUUAACCCAAACUUUUCUCUCCAUUUAGAGACUUCUUAUUCAUUGAUCUAUACCCUGUUCCUUGAUUUGUGCUGGAAAAUCAUGGAUUAGAACUGUCUUUUCUUAUUUGAAAAAGUUUCUAGAUACAGACCUGUGAUAUUUAUUUUCUUUGUACUUGGAAAGUACACAAUGAAAAUAGACAAUUGAACUAACAGAACAGGAUAUAUCUACCAGCCUUUUUGAAUAGUGUCUGAUUGCUUUACAAUGUUUGUCUGUGUAAAUGUGCAUAUAUUGUAUUUUGAUGCAAAAGUCAUUCCUUAAUGGAUUUUUUAUAAGCAGGCUAGAACUAUUUAAGUGUUCUGCAGCGUCACUGCAGAAUGUGUUUGUGGUUCUGGGGUUACUUAACCUCUCCCUGCAGCAGAAUUUAUCUGACUCACAGAAUAGAAGUACUGCAACAUGAAUUUCAAGUUAAGUGGGUACCUUCGAACUGUGUUAAAUUAAGCAUCUUCAUUGACUCAUUAAUAAAUACACUUUACGUUAAGCCUUGUUGUAUUAUGUGUAGUAUAUGCAAAAUACAUAUAAUGUAAUUCUACACUAACUAUAAUAAUAGUAGAGGAUAAAAUUACUUUAGAAACAAAUAAAACUGACUUUCUUCCAA